GGGGGUGUAGCUCCGUGGUAGAGUGUUUGCCUAGCAUGCAGGAGGCCCUGAGUUCAGUCCUCAGUACUGCAA
Ictidomys tridecemlineatus (thirteen-lined ground squirrel) is the source of this 72-nucleotide non-coding RNA. Lineage: Eukaryota; Metazoa; Chordata; Mammalia; Rodentia; Sciuridae. The record is from Rfam.